GUGGCACAUGCCUGCCAACUCAGUACUCUGGGAGGCUGGGGCAGGAAGACUGCCAGUUCAAGCCCAACAUGGCCAAUUUAGUGACUUAGCAAGACCCUGUCUCAAAGGAAAAAUGCUGGGUGUGGUGGCACAUGCCUAUAAUCCCAGCACUAGGGAAGCUGAGGCAUGUACCACCACACACAGGUAGGAAAAUAUUUUUUUUAAAGGGGCUAGAGAUGUGACUGUGAAGGCCUGGAUUUUAUCCCUAGCACUGCAAAAAAUAAACAAACAAAAGGGGAAUGAAAAAGAACUGGGCUAGGGCCGGGGAUUUAGCUCAGUAGUUCUGCCAGCUGCCUUGCAAGAGCAAGGUCCCGAGUUCAAUCCCUGGUACCAAAAAAAGAAACAAAAAAAGAAAGAAAGAAAAAGAACUAGCCUCCAGAUUUUGAGGUGUCUGGUAUUUCCAUCCAUCCCUACUACUGUGUAUCUCAGCAAAUUCAGUUUGUUGGAGUAAUGUUUCCAAUUGAGCUGUCAAUGGCAGAAUGGUGGCCAUCAGCGAAUGUGCCCCCAGACUCUCUGUGAGGCUACGGAUGGUAGGGGUGCAUACCCCUUAGAAACUGCUCUUAAAAGUCAGCAGACUUUGCUCUUCUUGUGAUAAUAGUGAAGGCAUUGAGGGCUAGUCAAACUACUGGAAGAUCUCUUCCUUUGGGCAUAAUCCUAAUAGAUGAACCUGUAAACUGGUCCUUAGUCCCAGACACGCUGGAUUCCAUUAAGUGGGGUGGGAAUGUCUAUGAUACUAUCUUCUCCAGACAGAAGUGGAUGCCAAAAGCUUUGUUCUCUUCUGGACUUCUCUGUUCUUGGAAACAAUACUGUUUCGAUUUCUCCCAUGGGAGCUAGACCCUUAACUGCAAAGAAAGGGACUUCACUUCCUGUCUUGUGCUGCCCAUUGUCUGGGCCUGUGGGAGCAAGCAGAUGCGUCCCUUGCUUAUCUCACCUCCUGCUGUUUCCUGCUUGGAGGAGCAGUCAAGGCAGUGGGAAGAAGCACCCAGGGGCCAGGGAGGUGAGAGAAGGGAGCACCCCUGUAUUCCUCGGCCAUGAGCAAUUACGUGAGGGACAAUUGCCAAAGAUGGUUUCAUGGAUGUUAAAGCCCUGCUUCAGCAGCCUGCAAUCUUCUUACUGGCUCUUGUCUGCACUCCUAGCAAAGGAAUCAUGCACAUCCGUCUUCUUCAUGCUUCACCAAAAUUGCAGAACUCAAGCUCCUGUCCUCUCGAUCCUCCAAGAAGAGCCAGGGUCUCUUCCUUCUGGAAUCUCACAUUGCAAACUGCUGAUCUCCACUCCUAUUCAGGGUGGCUUUGGAGUUCUUGAUUGUCACACAAGCUGGCAGUGUCAUCCCCAGGACGGCUGUGCUGCCAGUUAACCCUGAUUCUCUGUGAUGUAG
Long non-coding RNA from Heterocephalus glaber (naked mole-rat), 1414 nucleotides. The record is from Ensembl. Lineage: Eukaryota; Metazoa; Chordata; Mammalia; Rodentia; Bathyergidae.